GGAUCUGUAGCUCAGUUGGUAGAGCAGGGGACUGAAAAUCCCCGUGUCACUGGUUCGAUUCCAGUCGGAGCCACCA
RNAcentral lists this transfer RNA (76 nucleotides) under Klebsiella oxytoca. RNAcentral describes it as "tRNA-Phe". It matches the Rfam family "tRNA". From Rfam's summary of the family: Transfer RNA (tRNA) molecules are approximately 80 nucleotides in length. The record is from RNAcentral. Lineage: Bacteria; Pseudomonadati; Pseudomonadota; Gammaproteobacteria; Enterobacterales; Enterobacteriaceae.